Long non-coding RNA from Arachis stenosperma, 889 nucleotides. RefSeq lists it as uncharacterized. NCBI's taxonomy places the organism in Eukaryota, Viridiplantae, Streptophyta, Magnoliopsida, Fabales, Fabaceae. The transcript is spliced from 2 exons. The record is from RefSeq and is a predicted model, not a curated record.
GUCCCCCUCCCCCCCUAAUCAAACCUAAUCUAGUAAUCUGAAUGGAAACCCCCCAACUCUAGCCUCAUCUCUCUUCUCUCUUGACACAGGGCCUCACCUCACCUCGUCAGUUGUCACUUUCAGUCUCUCACAGCGUCACCUCGUCACUCUCUCGGUCUCGCACUCAUAAGCUCGUCGUCGCGGUCUCGUGCCCUGCGUUCGUCGGCGGUAGAAGCAAACGGAAUCAGUCAAGCAGCAUCUUCUCCAUCGGCGGGUGGUGGUGGUCGUUGUCUUCUUGUUUCAUCGCAGUCUCAGAACCAGUCAACUGGGAACAUGGCACAUCGGAUGGAGACAACGCAAAGCCUCCCGACGGUGACUUCUGAGUACGAUCCCUCAAACCAGGCGUGGAUAGUUACAACCACUACUACUGUGGUCCAGACUAUCUACUUAGAUCGAAGUUCUGUAGAAGAAAUCCCCCAAUUGCCGGUCAUAACUACUCCAGCACCAUCACUCGAGGUGGUCAACCUUAAUUCAGAUGAAAGUGAAGUACGUGCCAUAUUUUCCCAUCUCAGCGCCACAUCAGAUUCUAGUUCAUCCCAUAUAGCAGAAUAGGAUCUUCAUCGGCGCAAAAGUGUUAGAAGAGGAUUGUUAGUAGUCCAAUUCAUGAAAAACUGAAGGGUUCAGAUGAAGGAUAGAAUAUGAUACAAGGAUGAGAGCUUCUUCGAAGAACUUGGUUAGGACGUGUUGGGUUUUCUUCCUAGUUAUUUCUCGUUUAGCAUUUCUUUUUCUGCUAGUAACAUUACUCAUGGGAACUUUGUUGUUUUAUUUAUUUUUUUAUUUGCUAGAACCUGCUUAUGUGUGUUCAUUUCCUUCUUUUAGUCGUCAUGUAUUUUACUCGAGUGUUGUUGCA